GGUGGGGCUUCCUUUAUGAAAACGUCCUAAAGUCACAACAUUGUUCAGUUCCUCUAAGUCCGUCUUCGUCUUCACAUCUCUUGCUUUGCUGGAGAAUCCCUUCUAAGCAGCAGCAGCAGCACCAUGGCACAGGUCACAGUGGAGUACUGGUGAGUAGUAGAAAGACUGCUAUCACGCUACUGCUACUUAAAACAGUCUAACACCAAGUUCUCUGAUUAUUGUCACAGUCAAGGAUGAGGCUACCAGCAGUAUUUUAACCAAGUGUAUUCUUGGGUUAAAUACUACAGUCCAAAUGCACAGGUGUCCGGCCGCAUUGGGAGGCCAAGUGAGCAGCUGUUUGACGACUUCUUUGACUAUAAAUGUUGGUGCGUGUGAGCGAGACUUGCCAACCCUGUUCUGUGCUUUCAGACAGCUUUGAGGUGUCGGUAAACAACAAGGUGAUCUACUCCAAGCUUCAGAAUGGAUCCUUUCCCAAUCCUCAGUGGGUGGGCACCAUGGUGCAGUCAUCAUGUGGAGGAUACACUGCACCAGUGCAGCAGAGAAGAUCCUGACGUUAAAGACGCAGGGAUGAAAACAGCAGCUGGACUCACACCGAGGACAGUGGCUGCUUUUAUCUCUGCUACUACGAGCAGCAUUUAAAACAUCUCAAAUGUUGCAUCUGCUAUAGCAUGAUUCCAUCCUGGUGCACAGUAGGGGUUGAUGGGAGAAGCUCUGGGUGAAUGGGACGCUGGGCUGCACUUCUGUUUAUGAUUGUUCACGCUUAAAACACAGGCGGUGUGAACAUGAUGCUAAUCCAGAAGCUGCUCAGCAGACCAGUCUGACCAGGACACACACACACACACACGCACACACACACACACACACACACACACACACACACACACACACACACGCACACACACACACACACACACACACACACACACAGGGAAUGGGGAAACUACUCACUUUCUAUCUGACUAUAAAUCAAAUAUUUUUUCUCCAUUGCCAUGACAACUGCUGUAUCAUAAAUUAAACUUGCGGAAAACAUACGGUAAAGGCCUACAAGCUUUCUAAUAUAAAUGUGAUGGUGGAGGGUGAAUUUAUGAUCAAACAUGUUUAAUACUGAGUUCUAGAUAUGAGGUGAACUGUUCUGUAUGUGGGUGUGAAAGUUCUAAAAGUCAUUUCUGGGUGUUUUAUAGAUUUUGGUAAAUAGUUUUAAGGCACUGGAGCAUCUAAGUGUAAUCUCACUCUGACAUAACGUAAUUACGGUCCUGAAAUUCAAUAAAAUAAAACUUAUAAGAUUUGGACUCUGUGUG
RNAcentral lists this long non-coding RNA (1298 nucleotides) under Gouania willdenowi (blunt-snouted clingfish). Its description in RNAcentral is "lncRNA (ENSGWIG00000026142.1)". The record is from RNAcentral. Lineage: Eukaryota; Metazoa; Chordata; Actinopteri; Blenniiformes; Gobiesocidae.